Molecule: ribosomal RNA, 1372 nt
Filed under: uncultured bacterium
Lineage: Bacteria
Description: 16S ribosomal RNA
Rfam family: Bacterial small subunit ribosomal RNA
Source: RNAcentral
UUUGAUCAUGGCUCAAGGCGAACGCUGGCGGCGUGCUUAACACAUGCAAGUUCGAACGAAUGAAGCGGUGCUUUGCACCGUGGAUUAAUGGCGAAACGGGUGAGUAAUACGUUGAGUCGACCUACCUUUUGACUCUGGGAUAAGCCUGGGAAAACUGGGUCUAAUACCGGAUACGACCAAUCUCUGCAUGGGGUCGUUGGUGGAAAGCGUUAUGGAGUGGUUUUAGAUGGGCUCACGGCCUAUCAGCUUGUUGGUGAGGUAAUGGCUUACCAAGGCGACGACGGGUAGCCGGCCUGAGAGGGUGACCGGCCACACUGGGACUGAGACACGGCCCAGACUCCUACGGGAGGCAGCAGUGGGGAAUAUUGCACAAUGGGCGCAAGCCUGAUGCAGGGACGCCGCGUGAGGGAUGACGGCCUUCGGGUUUGUAAACCUCUGUUAGCAUCGAAGAAGCGAAAGUGACGGUAGGUGCAGAGAAAGCGCCGGCUAACUACGUGCCAGCAGCCGCGGUAAUACGUAGGGCGCGAGCGUUGUCCGGAAUUAUUGGGCGUAAAGAGCUUGUAGGCGGUUGGUCGCGUCUGCUGUGAAAGGCCGGGGCUUAACUCCGGUUUUGCAGUGGGUACGGGCUAACUAGAGUGCAGUAGGGGAGACUGGAAUUCCUGGUGUAGCGGUGGAAUGCACAGAUAUCAGGAGGAACACCGAUGGCGAAGGCAGGUCUCUGGGCUGUAACUGACGCUGAGAAGCGAAAGCAUGGGGAGCGAACAGGAUUAGAUACCCUGGUAGUCCAUGCCGUAAACGUUGGGCACUAGGUGUGGGGGACAUUCCACGUUUUCCGCGCCGUAGCUAACGCAUUAAGUGCCCCGCCUGGGGAGUACGGCCGCAAGGCUAAAAACUCAAAGGAAUUGACGGGGGCCCGCACAAGCGGCGGAGCAUGCGGAUUAAUUCGAUGCAACGCGAAGAACCUUACCAAGGCUUGACAUGCAUUAGAAUCGCGUCAGAGAUGGCGUUUCCCUUCGGGGCUGGUGUACAGGUGGUGCAUGGUUGUCGUCAGCUCGUGUCGUGAGAUGUUGGGUUAAGUCCCGCAACGAGCGCAACCCUCGUUCUAUGUUGCCAGCGGUUCGGCCGGGGACUCAUAGGAGACUGCCGGGGUCGAACUCGGAGGAAGGUGGGGAUGACGUCGAAAUCAUCGAUGCCCCUUAUGUCUUGGGCUUCGACGCAUGCUACGAAUGGCCGGUACAGAGGGUUGCGAUACUGUGAGGUGGAGCUAAUCCCUUAAAGCCGGUCUCGGUUCGGAUUGGGGUUCUGCGAACUCGGACCCCGUGAAAGUCGGAAGUCGCUAGUGAAUCGCGGUUUCGGCGGACGCUGCGGUGAA